RNAcentral lists this long non-coding RNA (752 nucleotides) under Homo sapiens (human). RNAcentral's name for it is "long non-coding RNA NONHSAT005116". The record is from RNAcentral. Lineage: Eukaryota; Metazoa; Chordata; Mammalia; Primates; Hominidae.
ACUGCGCUUCCGUCGCACAGAGCCUGACGAAGGCUUGGGCUCCCCGCGCGGUGACCGUCGAGGUGACCUGCACCUGGCUCCAUGGCGGAACCGGCCGGCACGGAUUAUUCCCCUCUCGGGAGAGGUCUGCAGCCGGGCCUCAGUGCUUCAGUUCGUGGCCUGGCAUUUUGUAGAUGGAGUCUCAGUGUGUAGCCCAGUCUCAAGUGACCCUCCCUCGUUGGCUUCCCAAAGCGCUGAGAUUGCAGGAAGAGUGUCUUCAUCUCUGCAUCCCUAGUGCAACAGAGCAUGACAAAAAUUCAACAAAUAUUUAUUGAAGAGUCUUGAUGUCUUUUGGGAAAGGAACUCUAUGGUUACCUUUACUCUAAGGCAUUGUGAAGACCCUGUUUCUCUAGCUGUGCAGCUGCAAGGUCACUAGGCAGAUAAACUCAAGCCAUAAAACAUGUUUUUCCUUGAAAAAUUAGAUGGGUGUUACUGAUUCUUACCUCAGAGAAGAGAAUGUCAUGGAGACAAAAUGACCUGCUUAGAGUUCUGCACCCCCCAGCAUGGAGAGCAGAGCGCAAAGAUUUCUUCCGGACUCCCACAUUCCCCUUGGAAUCCAAGAACUGGUCUACUGUCACAACACUUUAGUACCCUCUUCUCCCAAGGAGGCAGCAGAAACUGGGGUAAUCACAACGGUCAACAGCAGCAAAGGCAGCACUUUCUGAUUUACUUGACUGCUAUGGAUGCCACCUCUCUCCACGCCUCAGUUUAAU